Molecule: long non-coding RNA, 1138 nt
Filed under: Pelobates cultripes (western spadefoot toad)
Lineage: Eukaryota; Metazoa; Chordata; Amphibia; Anura; Pelobatidae
Source: RNAcentral
AACUUUUAAAUAGCUUCAUUUAUUGCAUUUAUUUGUUUAGACAAGCAGCACAUGAAUACACGUUGUACAGGUUCCAGCCAGCCAGUCAUAAUGGAUGAAGGAUAUGACAUACGUCUGCAUUCCGGAAUCAUUUUAAAUAUUUUGCUUUCUUAGGCCCCAUACGCGUUUCACCACAAAACUCCUUUCUGUUGGCCAGCAAAAUAUUGAUAUCCAUUCUAACACAGUGAAUAUAUUAUUACCGGUUUCAAAAUCUUUGUAUUGUGAGAAAUGGAUAAAGCAUGUAUAAGUCUUGAUAGAAUAUGGCUUUUUAUUAUAUAUAGUCCAUAAUACAUGUUCAUACAUGUUAAUCUUUACAUACAGCGGAUUUGCGAAACGCGCCGUCUGAAACCAUAUGACAGACAUUGCUGGCAAGCAUAGAUUAAAGUCUUUCUGUAAAAAAUAAAUUAGUUAUAUUUUAUAAAGCAUUUCAAGCUAUGCAAACAUCAGAUCAAUAUCAUUAUAUUACAAGGUACAAUAUUUUGCCAAACAUUGUAAAAUAACUUUUUUUUUUAUAUAUAUAUAUAGUAACUUUCUUCAACAAACUAAGCUAACCCGUUUUUAAUUUUCUCCCUUUUGAUCCUAUGUAUGGAGUACAGUAACACACAGGCAUUGCUAUUUAAAGAACCAUGCAACAUUUCAGAUGGUGAGCUUUGUAGCAGCUAUAAGUUGCAAUAUGUUAUAAUAUUAAAAGGUGUAUUUUAUACAUUUUAAAUAAGAAUUCUCAAGAUAUAUGUGAUCUUUAUUGACAUAUAAAAGAGCAUUGAAGACAUCUCACUGAGAACCAUCUCAUAAGUUUCAUGUUAUGAUCCAACAGCGAUUUGAGGUUAUUUUAAAGGGCAGGAAAUGCAACAGGAGGAAACAUAUCAAUGUCUCAUAAGGCCAUCAAAAUAAUUCAUUACCUACUGCUAUCAAAAAUGGUCCAUUUAGGAAAGAGAUUGGUUGGAGGGAAGACAAGUGUAUUGUUUGGUAAACCUCCUCAGAACACCUUGUCAAUAGUGAUGUCGCGAACCGUCUGCGAACUUGCCGCGAACGGUUUGCCGCGGUUCACGGCGAACUCCGGUCAGCUGACACAUCCCUGCCAAUCUCCGGCAGACCCUCC